CCUACGGGCGGCAGCAGUGAGGAAUAUUGGUCAAUGGGCGGGAGCCUGAACCAGCCAAGUCGCGUGAGGGACGAAGGUCCUAUGGAUUGUAAACCUCUUUUGUCGGGGAACAAAGGCGCCCACGCGUCGGCGGAUGAGUGUACCCGAAGAAAAAGCAUCGGCUAACUCCGUGCCAGCAGCCGCGGUAAUACGGAGGAUGCGAGCGUUAUCCGGAUUUAUUGGGUUUAAAGGGUGCGAAGGCGGGCUGUUAAGUCAGCGGUAAAAAUCCGGUGCUCAACGCCGUACAGCCGUUGAAACUGGCAGUCUUGAGUGGGAGAGAAGUAUGCGGAAUGCGUGGUGUAGCGGUGAAAUGCAUAGAUAUCGCGCAGAACUCCGAUUGCGAAGGCAGCAUGCCGGCGCCAUACUGACGCUGAGGCACGAAAGCGUGGGUAUCGAACAGGAUUAGAUACCCUUGUAGUC
RNAcentral lists this ribosomal RNA (459 nucleotides) under uncultured bacterium. RNAcentral's name for it is "partial 16S ribosomal RNA". It matches the Rfam family "Bacterial small subunit ribosomal RNA", at positions 338 to 795 of the family's 1533-position model. The record is from RNAcentral.